GGGUCGGCUGUGGCUCAGCGGUUACUUCUGGAAUUCCACUUCACUUUCAAUGAGGCUUCCCCUAACCGGGAUCGAUCCCCGCGGGCGCUAUCUGACCUUUUA
Vault RNA from Leptobrachium leishanense (Leishan spiny toad), 102 nucleotides. Its record names the gene Vault. It matches the Rfam family "Vault RNA". Rfam says of the family: This family of RNAs are found as part of the enigmatic vault ribonucleoprotein complex. Lineage: Eukaryota; Metazoa; Chordata; Amphibia; Anura; Megophryidae. The record is from Ensembl.